RNAcentral lists this ribosomal RNA (435 nucleotides) under Triticum aestivum (bread wheat). RNAcentral's name for it is "partial small subunit ribosomal RNA". The record is from RNAcentral. Lineage: Eukaryota; Viridiplantae; Streptophyta; Magnoliopsida; Poales; Poaceae.
AUGCAGGUGGAAUACAGGGCGCUCAUGGAGAACCGGACGUGGACACUCGUGCCGCGCCCUCGGAACGCCAACAUCGUCACCGGCAAAUGGUUGUUCCGCCACAAACUCAACUCCGACGGCAGCCUGGAGCGCUACAAGGCCCGCUGGGUGCUUCGAGGUUUCUCUCAACGUCCCGGCGUGGACUUCGACGAAACCUUCUCGCCCGUUGUCAAGGCCGCCACGAUCCGGGUCGUCCUCACGAUCGCCGCCUCGCGCCAGUGGCCUGUCCACCAGAUGGACGUGAACAAUGCCUUCCUCCACGGCCGUCUCACUGAGCAGGUGUACUGCCAACAGCCUGCAGGCUUCAUCGACGCCGACUACCCUGAUCAUGUGUGCCUCCUCGACAAGUCGCUAUACGGACUAAAACAAGCCCCGCGCGCCUGGUUCGCGCGGUUC